This 254-nucleotide ribosomal RNA is filed under the name uncultured bacterium. RNAcentral describes it as "partial 16S ribosomal RNA". It matches the Rfam family "Bacterial small subunit ribosomal RNA", at positions 524 to 776 of the family's 1533-position model. The record is from RNAcentral.
UACGGAGGAUCCAAGCGUUAUCCGGAAUCAUUGGGUUAAAGGGUCCGUAGGCGGUUUGGUAAGUCAGUGGUGAAAGCCCAUCGCUCAACGGUGGAACGGCCAUUGAUACUGCCAGACUUGAAUUAUUAGGAAGUAACUAGAAUAUGUAGUGUAGCGGUGAAAUGCUUAGAGAUUACAUGGAAUACCAAUUGCGAAGGCAGGUUAACUACUAAUGGAUUGACGCUGAUGGACGAAAGCCGUGGGUAGCGAACAGG